Molecule: transfer RNA, 73 nt
Filed under: Carboxydothermus hydrogenoformans Z-2901
Lineage: Bacteria; Bacillati; Bacillota; Clostridia; Thermoanaerobacterales; Thermoanaerobacteraceae
Rfam family: tRNA
About the family: Transfer RNA (tRNA) molecules are approximately 80 nucleotides in length. Their secondary structure includes four short double-helical elements and three loops (D, anti-codon, and T loops). Further hydrogen bonds mediate the characteristic L-shaped molecular structure. tRNAs have two regions of fundamental functional importance: the anti-codon, which is responsible for specific mRNA codon recognition, and the 3' end, to which the tRNAs corresponding amino acid is attached (by aminoacyl-tRNA synthetases). tRNAs cope with the degeneracy of the genetic code in two manners: having more than one tRNA (with a specific anti-codon) for a particular amino acid; and 'wobble' base-pairing, i.e. permitting non-standard base-pairing at the 3rd anti-codon position.
Source: Rfam by way of RNAcentral
GCUGGCGUAGCUCAAUUGGUAGAGCAUCUGACUUGUAAUCAGAGGGUUGCAGGUUCAAGUCCUGUCGCCAGCU